RNAcentral lists this ribosomal RNA (498 nucleotides) under uncultured bacterium. RNAcentral's name for it is "bacterial SSU rRNA". It matches the Rfam family "Bacterial small subunit ribosomal RNA", at positions 36 to 518 of the family's 1533-position model. The record is from RNAcentral.
CUGGCGGCGUGCUUAACACAUGCAAGUCGAACGCGAAAGGGACUUCGGUCCUGAGUAAAGUGGCGCACGGGUGAGUAACGCGUGGAUAAUCUGCCCUUAUGAUCGGGAUAACAGUUGGAAACGGCUGCUAAUACCGGAUACGCUCAAAAUGAACUUUUUGAGGAAAGAUGGCCUCUGCUUGCAUGCUAUCGCGUAAGGAUGAGUCCGCGUCCCAUUAGCUUGUUGGCGGGGUAACGGCCACCAAGGCAACGAUGGGUAGCCGAUUUGAGAGGAUGAUCGGCCACACUGGAACUGAAACACGGUCCAGACUCCUACGGGAGGCAGCAGUGGGGAAUAUUGCGCAAUGGGCGAAAGCCUGACGCAGCGACGCCGCGUGAGGGAUGAAGGUUUUCGGAUCGUAAACCUCUGUCAGAAGGGAAGAAACUACGUUGUGCUAAUCAGCAGCGUACUGACGGUACCUUCAAAGGAAGCACCGGCUAACUCCGUGCCAGCCGCAGC